GAUGAACGCUAGCGACAGGCUUAACACAUGCAAGUCGAGGGGCAGCGGUGGUGAAGGCUUGCCUUCACCAGCCGGCGACCGGCGCACGGGUGAGUAACACGUAUGCAACCUGCCUGCCACAGCCGGAUAAUCGGGAGAAAUUCCGUCUAAUACGGCAUAAUGCAUCGACGGGACAUCCUGUUGGUGCCAAAGGUUAAUUCCGGUGGCGGAUGGGCAUGCGUCGCAUUAGUUAGUUGGCGGUGUAACGGACCACCAAGACGACGAUGCGUAGGGGUUCUGAGAGGAAGGUCCGCCACACUGGUACUGAGACACGGACCAG
RNAcentral lists this ribosomal RNA (319 nucleotides) under uncultured bacterium. RNAcentral's name for it is "bacterial SSU rRNA". It matches the Rfam family "Bacterial small subunit ribosomal RNA", at positions 28 to 334 of the family's 1533-position model. The record is from RNAcentral.